RNAcentral lists this ribosomal RNA (1343 nucleotides) under uncultured Nitrososphaerota archaeon. RNAcentral's name for it is "bacterial SSU rRNA". It matches the Rfam family "Archaeal small subunit ribosomal RNA", at positions 21 to 1338 of the family's 1478-position model. Lineage: Archaea; Thermoproteati; Nitrososphaerota. The record is from RNAcentral.
CCCGACUGCUAUCGGAAUGGGACUAAGCCAUGCGAGUCGUAUGUCCCUGGACUGCCAGGGGCAUGGCGAACGGCUCAGUAACACGUGGCCGACCUACCCUCAAGAUGCGGAUAACCCCGGGAAACUGGGACUAAUCCGCAAUAGGUCCAGAUUUCUGGAAUGAAUCUGGACCGAAAGGGUAACAUGAGCAUGUUUCAUGUUACCGCUUGAGGAUGGGGCUACGGCCGAUCAGGCUGUUGGUGGGGUAACGGCCCACCAAACCUUUGACCGGUACGGGCUUUGAGAGAAGGAGCCCGGAGAUGGACACUGAGACAAGGGUCCAGGCCCUAUGGGGCGCAGCAGGCGCGAAACCUCCACAAUGGGCGAAAGCCUGAUGGGGUCAUUCCGAGUGCCAUCCGCUAAGGAUGGCUUUUCCCAAGUCUAAACCGCUUGGGGAAUAAGGGGAGGGCAAGUCUGGUGUCAGCCGCCGCGGUAAUACCAGCUCCCCGAGUGGUCGGGACGGUUAUUUGGCCUAAAGCAUCCGUAGCCGGCCCUGUCCGUCUUCCGUUAAAUCUAACGGCCCAACCGUUAGGCUGCGGAAGAUACCACAGGGCUAGGGGGUGGGAGAGGUGGACGGUACUCCAAGGGUAGGGGUAAAAUCCUCUGAUCCUUGGAAGACCACCGGUGGCGAAGGCGGUCCACCAGAACGCGCCCGACGGUGAGGGAUGAAAGCUGGGGGAGCGAACCGGAUUAGAUACCCGGGUAGUCCCAGCCGUAAACGAUGCGAGCUAGGUGACAGAAUGGCCUAAGAGCCAUUCUGCUGCCGCAGGGAAGCCGUUAAGCUCGCCGCCUGGGGAGCACGGACGCAAGUCUGAAACUUAAAGGAAUUGGCGGGGGAGCACCACAAGGGGUGAAGCCUGCGGUUCAAUUGGAGUCAACGCCGGGAACCUCACCAGGGGAGACAGCAGGAUGAAGGUCAAGCUAAAGACUUUACCCGACGAGCUGAGAGGAGGUGCAUGGCCGUCGCCAGCUCGUGCCGUGAGGUGUCCUGUUAAGUCAGGCAACGAGCGAGACCCUCGCCGCUAGUUGCUGUCCUCUCCCGCAAGGGAGAGGAAGGUAGUUAGCGGGACUGCCGCCGUUCAAGGCGGAGGAAGGAGAGGGCUACGGCAGGUCAGUAUGCCCCGAAACCCCUGGGCCACACGCGGGCUGCAAUGGUAGGGACAGAGGGUGUCCAACUCCGAAAGGAGGAGGUAAACCCUAAACCCUACCCCAGUUGUGAUUGAGGGUUGCAACCCACCCUCAUGAAUAUGGAAUUCCUAGUAACCGCGUGUCACCAUCGCGCGGUGAAUACGUCCCUGCUCCUU